Molecule: long non-coding RNA, 1163 nt
Filed under: Setaria viridis
Lineage: Eukaryota; Viridiplantae; Streptophyta; Magnoliopsida; Poales; Poaceae
Description: long non-coding RNA (SVIR_LNC001522)
Source: RNAcentral
AUGAAUCACGGUUUAUGAUGCAAAAAAUAUGUUUAUGACACGUUUUGGUUCGUGGUUUAUGAUGCAAAAAAUAUGUUUAUGACACGUUUUGGUUCGUCAUAGACUGGAAGAUUUCUUGUAGUGUGGUCUUAGUCAUUUAGAAAAUAUAACGAAUUUGUUAACCAUGAUAAAAAAGACCAAAUAACAUCCUCUAAGAUAUGCGUGGCAUGACUAAACAUAAUACAUCUUUCUAGGGACGAAGAAGGAUAUGUAGGUAACUAUAAGGGGAAAAAAUCGUGGCAUGUGAAUUUGAAUAAUAUUUCUACAUGCCAUAUUCCUAUGUUAAAACUAGAGGAGGGCUCUCUCAUGAUGUUAGGCUUUCUUUUCCUCCCAUGAAAUUCAUUAAUUUGGUUUUGCCUAGAUUGUUUUGGCAUCCAUAAUAAUUUUGGUUUAGUCUAAUGUCCGUGGUAGAUUGUACUCACAAAUUACUCUCCUUUGAGCACCCCUUGGAUAUCCAUCCACCAAAAAGUUAUUUCUCAUCCCCUACCCUUUUUAACAAGGAAAUAUGAUAGAAUAUAUGGAAGGCAUAAUCAAGCCCUAUAAGCAUUGCUCUCUUUCAUGAAUACUAGAUGGUAAAGCAGCUAUACCUAUAAAAUUAUGUGGUAACUUUCUCAAGUUUAUCUAGGUCUAGGUGGAUUGAAUGUCCAAAAAAAAGCUCCUCAUCAACCUAUGCACCUAAUACAUAUGCAUACAACAACAUUAUAGAAAAGAACAUUAUAUUUCUAUAGGAUAGUAUUUUAUAAAAUACCAUUCCACAUCAUCUAUAAAAUAUAAAUAGGGACUAUCCGGUCCGAAAAAAGAAAAGGUUGCUUAUUAAUCUUUUCAUCCUAACAUUUCAUCUACGUCCUUCAAAAAAUCAAAAAUCCUAUACAGUACUUUUUGGGCCGACUAGCAACCGCAACCAUGGUUGUCGCUAUUCUCGUGUUCGCAAUGCACAACAUGUGGUGGCCACCCUCCACCUACCCUGCCUACUUUUCUUUUAAUGUGGGAUGUGAGCCCCACCCAAACCUUAGCAAUAAGAGAAGGGGAGUAGUACACUCUCCUCUUCGCCCCACCCCUCUCCUUCCCCAUUCCCUAGUUGCGCCCUCUCUCGAUCUCAAUCUCGACCUAAAACCUUCUUUCCC